This 360-nucleotide ribosomal RNA is filed under the name Salmonella enterica subsp. diarizonae. RNAcentral describes it as "partial 16S ribosomal RNA". It matches the Rfam family "Bacterial small subunit ribosomal RNA", at positions 269 to 621 of the family's 1533-position model. Lineage: Bacteria; Pseudomonadati; Pseudomonadota; Gammaproteobacteria; Enterobacterales; Enterobacteriaceae. RNAcentral also lists the same sequence under 1 other name. The record is from RNAcentral.
CAAGGCGACGAUCCCUAGCUGGUCUGAGAGGAUGACCAGCCACACUGGAACUGAGACACGGUCCAGACUCCUACGGGAGGCAGCAGUGGGGAAUAUUGCACAAUGGGCGCAAGCCUGAUGCAGCCAUGCCGCGUGUAUGAAGAAGGCCUUCGGGUUGUAAAGUACUUUCAGCGGGGAGGAAGGUGUUGUGGUUAAUAACCGCAGCAAUUGACGUUACCCGCAGAAGAAGCACCGGCUAACUCCGUGCCAGCAGCCGCGGUAAUACGGAGGGUGCAAGCGUUAAUCGGAAUUACUGGGCGUAAAGCGCACGCAGGCGGUCUGUCAAGUCGGAUGUGAAAUCCCCGGGCUCAACCUGGGAAC